RNAcentral lists this ribosomal RNA (250 nucleotides) under uncultured prokaryote. RNAcentral describes it as "partial 16S ribosomal RNA". It matches the Rfam family "Bacterial small subunit ribosomal RNA", at positions 524 to 774 of the family's 1533-position model. The record is from RNAcentral.
UACGUAGGGAGCGAGCGUUAUCCGGAUUUAUUGGGUGUAAAGGGUGCGUAGGCGGUUUGUUAAGUCUGAGGUUUAAUUCCGGAGCUCAACUCCGGUUCGCCUCAGAAACUGACUUACUUGAGUAUGGUAGAGGCAAGCGGAAUUUCUAGUGUAGCGGUAAAAUGCGUAGAUAUUAGAAGGAACACCAGUGGCGAAGGCGGCUUGCUGGGCCAUCACUGACGCUGAGGCACGAAAGCGUGGGGAGCAAAUA